GUGAUCCUACGGGGGGCAGCAGUGGGGGAUAUUGCACAAUGGGGGAAACCCUGAUGCAGCGACGCCGCGUGAGCGAUGAAGUAUUUCGGUAUGUAAAGCUCUAUCAGCAGAGAAGAAAAUGACGGUACCUGACUAAGAAGCCCCGGCUAACUGCGUGCCAGCAGCCGCGGUAAUACGUAGGAGGCAAGCGUUAUCCGGAUUUACUGGGUGUAAAGGGAGCGUAGACGGCAGUGCAAGUCUGAAGUGAAAGGCAAGGGCUCAACCCUUGGACUGCUUUGGAAACUGUGCUGCUGGAGUGUCGGGGA
Molecule: ribosomal RNA, 305 nt
Filed under: uncultured bacterium
Lineage: Bacteria
Description: bacterial SSU rRNA
Rfam family: Bacterial small subunit ribosomal RNA
Source: RNAcentral